This 158-nucleotide ribosomal RNA is filed under the name uncultured Acaulospora. RNAcentral describes it as "5.8S ribosomal RNA". It matches the Rfam family "5.8S ribosomal RNA". From Rfam's summary of the family: 5.8S ribosomal RNA (5.8S rRNA) is a component of the large subunit of the eukaryotic ribosome. The record is from RNAcentral. Lineage: Eukaryota; Fungi; Glomeromycota; Glomeromycetes; Diversisporales; Acaulosporaceae.
CAACUUUCAACAACGGAUCUCUUGGCUCUUGCAUCGAUGAAGAACGCAGCGAAAUGCGAUAAGUAAUGUGAAUUGCAGAAUUCCGUGAAUCAUCAAAUCUUUGAACGCAAAUUGAACUCUUUGGUAUUCCGAAGAGUAUGCUUGUUUGAGGGUUGUUC